This 436-nucleotide ribosomal RNA is filed under the name uncultured Acidimicrobiales bacterium. Its description in RNAcentral is "bacterial SSU rRNA". It matches the Rfam family "Bacterial small subunit ribosomal RNA", at positions 341 to 792 of the family's 1533-position model. Lineage: Bacteria; Bacillati; Actinomycetota; Acidimicrobiia; Acidimicrobiales. The record is from RNAcentral.
ACGGGAGGCAGCAGUGGGGAAUCUUGCGCAAUGGGCGAAAGCCUGACGCAGCAACGCCGCGUGCGGGAUGACGGCCUUCGGGUUGUAAACCGCUUUCAGUGGGGACGAAACAAGACGGUACCCACAGAAGAAGCCCCGGCCAACUACGUGCCAGCAGCCGCGGUAACACGUAGGGGGCGAGCGUUGUCCGGAAUCAUUGGGCGUAAAGAGCUCGUAGGCGGCUCAGUAAGUCGGGUGUGAAACCCCCAGGCUCAACCUGGGGACGCCACCCGAUACUGCUGUGGCUAGAGUCCAGUAGGGGAGUGUGGAAUUCCCGGUGUAGCGGUGAAAUGCGCAGAUAUCGGGAGGAACACCAGCGGCGAAGGCGGCACUCUGGGCUGGAACUGACGCUGAGGAGCGAAAGCGUGGGUAGCAAACAGGAUUAGAUACCCUGGUA